This 85-nucleotide transfer RNA is filed under the name Methylococcales bacterium. RNAcentral describes it as "tRNA-Leu". It matches the Rfam family "tRNA". Rfam says of the family: Transfer RNA (tRNA) molecules are approximately 80 nucleotides in length. Their secondary structure includes four short double-helical elements and three loops (D, anti-codon, and T loops). The record is from RNAcentral. Lineage: Bacteria; Pseudomonadati; Pseudomonadota; Gammaproteobacteria; Methylococcales.
GCGAAUGUGGCGAAAUUGGUAGACGCGCUGGAUUUAGGUUCCAGUAGGUAGCCCUGUGAGAGUUCGAGUCUCUCCAUUCGCACCA